CUUAAUUUAAAAAUUAUGGCUCUCUAAAAAGCAAAAAAAAAUAGUACCUAUUUUCAAGAGCUAAAACAAUCAACUGAACUAGACUUAGAGAUAGUCUAGAUAGGCACAUUAAAAUACCUAUACCUAAUAUGUCAAUGGCUCUAUUUGGCAAGUUGGGCAUCAUGCAGCAAUACAUGGAAAACUUAAGCAAGAAGAUGGAAAUUAUAAACAAAAGCUUUUUUUAAAAUCCUACACUAUCAGAGAUAAAGAAUUCUUUUCAUGAGAUUAUCAUUACACUUUACAUAACUGAUUCCAGAAGGGCUAAGCUUAAAGGUGGGUCAAUAGAAAUGGGUCAAUCAUUUCAUGGCUAAUAGAAAUGGUUAGUCAUUUCAUGAAAUAAUCUUACAUGAAACACAAAGUGAAAACUGAAUGAAAAAAAAAAUACAACAGAGCACCUAUGAGCUGUGGAACACUGUUAAAUUGAUUAACUCAUAUUUACUUGUUGUUCCACCAGGAGAAAGGUGCAAAAAUGUAAAAAGAAUAUUUUGAGCAAAGGCUAAGUACAAAGAAAAACAGACCUGAGCACACGAGAGUCAAACUAAAAUCAACAACAACAACAAAAAACAAAUAUGGAGAAAAAAGUCUUGAAGGUAGCCGGGGAAGAAAAAAACAUUACAUGCAGGACAAUAAGAACUACAAUGAAAGCAGGUUUCUUGUCAGAAACACAGCUAUGUAAACCAGAAAACAAUGGAGUGAUAUCUUUAAAGUUCUGUAGGAAUAAAGAUGAAAUACUGUCACUCUAGAAAUUUAUACCCAGAAGAAAUACAAAAUGCCAACACCACAGAAGUUAUCACCUCCCUUCCCAGACCACAUCACCUUUCCCUGCUAAGGAAAACAUGCCAAGAUUAGCAACCUGUACACAAACAUUCUUUGAGCCUCUAGAUACAGAGUCUCUGAGAGCAGUUUCCAGUUCCAACACAACAGCACCUCAUCUUCUGCCUGCACUCCUGAACACACGACCAGGCUCACACCACUCGAGACCUCCGUAUACACAAAAUAGGACCCAUAAGUCCUUCUGAAGGUGUGUGGGUGCAUGAUAAAUGCUCCAUAAAUAGCUACUGAUAGAAAACCUACAUCACAGAUAAUAAUGAAAAGCCUUUCAAGAGUUACACACAGGAAGACUGCAUAAUAUGAAAUACAAUUUACAGUUUAGAACGUUUCCUUUGUUGGUUAUGUGGAGAUUGGACUACAGUGAGUCAAAGAGGGAGAAAAGGAAAGAUGAAGAGACUGUUGGACUUGGCCAUGCGAAAGAUCCUUGGCCUUGGACCAGUGUGGAACAGUUUGGCAAAGUGUGAGAAGUGAUGAGGAUAUAUUUUGAAGGUACCCUCAACUCAAUCUCGUUCUUGCCUGGAGAAGCAAUGUGAUGAAGGAUCUAGGUUUGAACCCUGGCAUUUAGCUUUCUGAAUAGUUGUCAGAUGAGUUUUUUUUUUAACAAGAAGCUAAAGAAGAUUGAAAUGCAAUGAUGAAAAAUUGACUCAGAGGUGGAAGAUGUAAUUGUUUUCAGUGGAAUGCCUUCUGUCCACUGUAUAGGAUCUACUGAAUGUUCACAUGGCUGGCUCUAAGUGCCAUUCUAGACUACAUACUAUGUGAAAAAAAUCUUUCUUCUGUUCAUUUUAUAUUUUCUCAGGUCCCUUCCAAGGAUGGAUGACCUAGAGGCUGGGAUAUCCAGAAGAGUUGAGACAGAAAGAGAAAUAACUAGUAUUAUGUUCCUUAAAAUGUCCUUCCUUUUUGAUCAACACUAAUACUUAAAAAUCAUCUGAGCAGGUUCUGCUAUAUAUAUAUAUAUAUAUAUAUAUAUAUAUAUAUAUAUAUAUAUAUAUAUGUUUAAAAUUAUUUAUAUUCAAUGUAUAUGUACAGCUUUACUAGCUUUUGUGGACUUUAUAAAUUAUACAUAAAAUGGGUCAGACAUGGUAGUUCGCACCUAUAAUCCCAGCACUUUGAGGGUCCCAGCACUUUCUCAGGUCCCUUGGAAGAGAAAAUAAUUAUUUUUAUUAUUACUCAAUAAAUUAACAUACAUUUGGUUUGGAAUUUAAAAAAUUAAAGAUAUCUUGAAAAAUUAAACAUCAUAUUGUCUUCACUGGAAUGGUUGUCUCACCCAGCGUCAUCUCUUCUAGUGGCUGGAUCCUGUUCUUCCUGAAAACCACUCAUUUCUGAUAACAGUAGAACUGUAGCUCAGAAUGCAAGCCAAAACUGCCUUCCUUGAGUCUGGCCUUGGUCACAAGUGGGUCAUCGCUUUAUCCAGGACAAUCAUGAUUCUUCCCUGGAAUUUUCACACAUGAUCUUAGCCAAAAAGCUGAGAAGAAAUUCUGGGAUUUUCCAAUGCACACUUGAGUUUUCUUUCCAGCAGCCAAGCUGUGUGAAGCUGAGCCUGGAGCUGCUGAUGGCCAUGAUUCCUGAGUUAGAAAAUGUCACAAUAUAAGAUGCACACUAAAUCAAGACCAAAAACAUUUAGAAACUAUGACAAAUGAAUGAAAAUUAAGUGGUGAAAUGACAUUAUGUUCUUCUAUUUGAUUCCACUUAUGUGAAUUUCUAGACUAGGAAAACUUAUUUUGAUUAAAAGUACAUCUGUGGUUUCUUGGAGGCUUGAUUUGCAGUAAACGUGCAGGAAAGUGUUAACAUCAGCAGGCAGGAGACUCCGAUCCUUAGAAGGGCCUGCUUGCGAGCUUGGUCUUCGCUGGCAUCUAGAAACUUAUGUUUCAAGAGAGUACCCACCAUUCUCUGAUAAGAAUGAUUCAUUGUCCUAAACCAUUUGUUCAAACAAUUGGUUUAUCCUGAAUAUCUGUUUUUCUUGAAGUCUAAAAUUUUUAUACAGAGUAGGCAGAGUGUGUCCUAUGUAAUCAACCCUAAUAAAAACCAUGGACUCUGAGUGUCUCAAGAGCUUCCCUGGUAGACAGCAUUUCAUACUUGCCAUUACAAGUUGCUACUGGGUGAAUUAAGAUCAGCUGGUGUGACUCCAGUGGGAUAAGAUUCUUGGAUGCUUGCACCUGGUUUCUUCCGGAUAUUGCUGGAUGCACCUUUUCUCUUUGCUGAUUUCGCUUUUUAUCCGUUUUCCAUAAUAAAUCACUGCCAUGACUAUGCCUAUAUGCUGAGUCGUGGGAGCACUCCUUACAAAUCACCAAACCUGGGGAUGGUCUUGGGACCCCUGGUACAGCAAAAAGAAACUUUUUAUCUCAAUAGAAGUGUGAUUUAUGUGGCUGCAUUCAAUUGUCAAAAUUGAUUGAACUGUGUACUUAAGAUCUGUGUAUUAUACCUAAUAAAAUUAUUUUGAGGAAAAAAC
RNAcentral lists this long non-coding RNA (3316 nucleotides) under Homo sapiens (human). RNAcentral describes it as "HSALNT0084583". The record is from RNAcentral. Lineage: Eukaryota; Metazoa; Chordata; Mammalia; Primates; Hominidae.